RNAcentral lists this ribosomal RNA (440 nucleotides) under uncultured bacterium. Its description in RNAcentral is "partial 16S ribosomal RNA". It matches the Rfam family "Bacterial small subunit ribosomal RNA", at positions 338 to 795 of the family's 1533-position model. The record is from RNAcentral.
CCUACGGGCGGCAGCAGUGGGGAAUAUUGCACAAUGGGGGGAACCCUGAUGUAGCGACGCCGCGUGAAGGAAGAAGUAUUUCGGUAUGUAAACUUCUAUUAGCAGGGAAGAAAAUGACGGUACCUGACUAAGAAGCCCCGGCUAACUACGUGCCAGCAGCCGCGGGAAAAGGGAGGGGGCAAGCGUUAUCCGGAUUUACUGGGUGUAAAGGGAUCGUAGGCGGCAGGGCAAGUCAGAAGUGAAAGCCCAAGGUUCAACCAUGGGACUGCUUUGGAAACUGUGCGGCUAGAUUGCAGGAGAGGUAAGUGGAAUUCAUGGUGUAGCGGUGAAAUGCGUAGAUAUUAGGAAGAACACCAGUGGCGAAGGCGGCUUACUGGACUGUAAAUGACGCUGAGGCUCGAAAGCGUGGGGAGCAAACAGGAUUAGAUACCCCAGUAGUC